RNAcentral lists this unclassified non-coding RNA (2969 nucleotides) under Hevea brasiliensis (rubber tree). Lineage: Eukaryota; Viridiplantae; Streptophyta; Magnoliopsida; Malpighiales; Euphorbiaceae. The record is from RNAcentral.
AGUACUGAAGAUUUGACAGACAGCAAUGUGGUAGUUCGGAAGUCCACAAUGUUUACGUCAUUGGGAACCACAAGUUGUUCUAAAUCUAAAUUGUGUCCAGUUUUCCAAACUUCAUACUAUAUUUACCAAUUCUAGUUAGCAAGUCUUUUGACAUGAAUUCUGUAUUGAAUCUAUAUAGAAUUCAUUUACAAAUGAAUUUCCUUGUUUGGAAUACCAUAAAUUAAUAUAAACAUUCAAUUAGAUUAUGUAAAUUUUGUUUGGAAGAUAUCAUUCUUUCUGAAAAUGCACUUUGAGAGAGUGAAAGAGAGAGAGUAUAUGUUACUUCUUGUGAUUGUGAAAUAGAAAAGAAGGUGAAAGCUGUGGAUAUGUUAUGAAGUUUUGUUGUUAGUUUUCUGGAAUUCAUAUGAAAUUCUACCUAUUCUGAUACAAUUUGUUUUAAUUUAGUUGAAUUGUAUGGAAAUGGAAUUGUACAAUGGAAAUGAAGAAAUUUAUUCCAAACAUAAAAUUAUUGAACUGAAAAUGAAUUCCAUUGAAUUUAUGAAAUUCAUUUGUUCACAUAGUGUUAGGAAUUGAUUGCACCUUAAUAUUUAAGGAUUUAAAAGGGGAAAAAAUCUUCUGUUGAUUUUUAAGCAUUCUUGACAUUACAAAAUCUUCAUCUUAUGUUUUAAUACAAAAUCUUCAUCUUAUGUUUUAAUUCAUUGAGAACAAAAACAUUGCAUACUUUGCACCAUUUCUGGUGUCUGCUAAUUUGAACUUGAGCCACGAAACAUUUUUUGUGGUUUCAGUCCCUGUUUAUGGUUAUAUUUGGUCCUUUUUGUUGCAUGCUUAUGUUACUCUUACUGUAUCAUAAUUAUCUUAUUGUUAUCUUUUAGCAUUUGUUUUUGACCACUUUGCAAUGGGAAAUUGUUUGGCUAAAGCAUCAGGCACUGCUUCAUCUAGCUUUUGACCAUGCCUUUAUCUCUAUGAGCUAUGCUAUCUUUGAGACAUGUUUAGCAUGGCAAUGAAAUGCUUAUAAAUAAGGACGAUUGUUUAAUACUCAGAAUUCUGUGAUCCAGAAAUUAUUUGCAAUGACAAGUAACUGUCUACUUUUUCCUUCCUUUUUUCCUUUUAACUAUGCUGGGGUUUUGGAUGAAUUGGGUUGUUGUGAAUUGACUACAGUUUUAUUUCCUUUCUUUCUAGUGAGUAAUAAUGAUGCACUGAGUAAUUUAUCAAUUUUUAUUGUAGAGUAUAAUGGAUAGCCAAUCUGGUCAUGGGUUUGACUCAGAUGAAAGUGACUUAGAUAUGCAAGCUGAAGCCUAUGAUUGUGAGAGUAUAGAUGAUGAGCUCCCAAAUAACUUAGAUUUCUGCGCAAGCGAAGAUGACAAUAUAUCAGAACAAUCUGUUGGAUUACCUAUAAAUGCUGAAGGUUUAGAACCACAUGUAGGCAUGGAGUUCAACUCAAGAGAUGAAGCCAGAGAAUUUUAUAUUUCCUACGGCAGACGCACUGGUUUCACUGUGCGUAUACACCAUAAUCGUCGUUCUCGAGUUAACAAUCAAGUUAUUGGUCAAGAUUUUGUUUGUUCAAAAGAAGGUUUCCGUGCCAAGAAGUAUGUAUACAGAAAAGAUAGAGUUCUUCCCCCACCGCCAGUCACCAGGGAGGGAUGUCAAGCAAUGAUAAGGCUAGCUCUGAGAGAUGGAGUUAAGUGGGUGGUAACCAAAUUUGUUAAAGAGCAUACUCAUAAACUAAUGAGUCCCAAUAAAGUUCCAUGGCGGGGAUCUGGAAAGCACUUAAUUAGUGAGGUAUGUUCGAUUUUUCCCCCAAUGAAAUGAUAUGAAGCUGAGCUUCUUGAAAGGUUACUGAACCAGAUGAGCUGAUCCUUCUCACUAUAUGAGGAAACAUUGUAGGAUACUAGGCAAUUGGUGGUGGAAUUUCCAAGCCUGAUCCUGCUGUGCGUUAGCUUUUUCAGCUAACUAAACAUAAAAAAUUUUAUUCAGUUAUCCUUUUUAUUUGGAAUUGGCUUAGCCAUGGUCUGGUCUAUUGGGAAAAUUCAAACUUGGGCUUGUGGGCAAGGAUUGGGUUUGGGAGCAUAUUCCGAAGUAUGCCUCUGCCUAGUGAUCUGGACUAGCUGUCAUGGAGUUAAAAUGAGAUUUGUGUGCUGCAUUAGUAAUUUGACAUGGUUAACUUUUUAAUUGGUCUUACUUUCAGUUUUAUUUUCCUGUUUUAAAAUAGUAUAUCCAUUAUUAUAUUGUUCUUGUAAUAGCCAAAAUAUUCACCUCUUUUGCAGGAUGAGAAGGAUAAGAGAAUCCGUGAACUAUCCCUUGAGUUGUACAAUGAGAGGCAAAAGUGUAAACGACGGUGUGCUGCAUAUGAAGAACAGCUAAAUAUGAUCCUAAAAGAUUUGGAACAACACACAGAACAUGUUUCUAAGAAAGUUGCUGAUGUUGUACAGAGCAUAAGAGAAAUUGAGGAGGAGCAGACUGAUGACUCUGACAGUGGAUGAAAUCAAUACAGGAUCAGCAUGUAUCCUUUCAUUUCCUCUGUUGUGAAAAAUGAGCUGUUGAGCCUAGCCGGACAUCUACUUUUAACAUAAACAAACAGUUUGAAUUGGUAUAAUCGUCAAGGUGAAUGACUUCAUAAUCCAUGAAGUAUAUUUUCCUGAGAAAAUCAAUGGCCACUUUAUUAUGUCUUGGAUCAAGAAAUGUACAGGGCAUCAAUGACGUAUCUUUGCUAAAAGGUAACAAAGUUAUUCAUGAAAUUUGGCGUGGUGUGUUGUCAUAUAUUCACUGGUCUUUCUUUUAGCUUGUAUAAUAGUUUGUCUGAACCAUUUAAGAUUCAAUUAUGUUUCACUGUAAAAUAUACUAGCACAGAAUUUGUUUUUUCUGUUUGGAAUGUGAUUUCAUGAGCAAUUAACAUACAGAUAUUUUGUUGUUUGGGAGAUGAGAACCUUCUAUAAGGUGGAUGGUAAAAUUGUAAGUGAUGAUAAACUGAU